Molecule: ribosomal RNA, 738 nt
Filed under: uncultured Pseudomonas sp.
Lineage: Bacteria; Pseudomonadati; Pseudomonadota; Gammaproteobacteria; Pseudomonadales; Pseudomonadaceae
Description: bacterial SSU rRNA
Rfam family: Bacterial small subunit ribosomal RNA
Source: RNAcentral
AUGGCUCAGAUUGAACGCUGGCGGCAGGCCUAACACAUGCAAGUCGAGCGGAUGAAGAGAGCUUGCUCUCUGAUUCAGCGGCGGACGGGUGAGUAAUGCCUAGGAAUCUGCCUGGUAGUGGGGGACAACGUCUCGAAAGGGACGCUAAUACCGCAUACGUCCUACGGGAGAAAGCAGGGGACCUUCGGGCCUUGCGCUAUCAGAUGAGCCUAGGUCGGAUUAGCUAGUUGGUGAGGUAAUGGCUCACCAAGGCGACGAUCCGUAACUGGUCUGAGAGGAUGAUCAGUCACACUGGAACUGAGACACGGUCCAGACUCCUACGGGAGGCAGCAGUGGGGAAUAUUGGACAAUGGGCGAAAGCCUGAUCCAGCCAUGCCGCGUGUGUGAAGAAGGUCUUCGGAUUGUAAAGCACUUUAAGUUGGGAGGAAGGGUUGUAGAUUAAUACUCUGCAAUUUUGACGUUACCGACAGAAUAAGCACCGGCUAACUCUGUGCCAGCAGCCGCGGUAAUACAGAGGGUGCAAGCGUUAAUCGGAAUUACUGGGCGUAAAGCGCGCGUAGGUGGUUUGUUAAGUUGGAUGUGAAAGCCCCGGGCUCAACCUGGGAACUGCAUUCAAAACUGACAAGCUAGAGUAUGGUAGAGGGUGGUGGAAUUUCCUGUGUAGCGGUGAAAUGCGUAGAUAUAGGAAGGAACACCAGUGGCGAAGGCGACCACCUGGACUGAUACUGACACUGAGGU